This is a long non-coding RNA of Manis javanica (Malayan pangolin), 1937 nucleotides long. RefSeq lists it as uncharacterized. The record is from RefSeq and is a predicted model, not a curated record. Lineage: Eukaryota; Metazoa; Chordata; Mammalia; Pholidota; Manidae.
AGUUUACACAGUGGCUAUGAAGAGAGUUCAUAAUUUAACCCAAAGUGCACAGAGAAGGGUAAGGGCACUGAUUAGGACCUGGGGGGGUGACCUGCAUCACCUUACACAAGCACUCAUCUAUAUGAUCUUCCCUUAAUGCUGAGCAAAACGGAUGAUGUAAAUACACAAAACCACUGUAGAUCCUAUGAUUAGAUCCUAUGAUUAUAUGGGGGAUGACAUAUAUAAUUGAGGAAUCAAUACAAGCAUAUAUAUUUUUAUGUACUAAAUUUAUAGCUGACCUGUUUUAUUUCUCAAUGGCAAAGUCAUGGUGCAUUAAAGUGUACCUCUCAAAUUUAAUACAAUACGACAAUGCACUGGAGAUCUUUAAACUGAGAUGAUGAGUCAGGUAUUCUGGUCUGGGUCCUGAGUUUCUGCAUUUCCAGCAGGCUCACCAAUGAUGCUAAGGGCCACAUUUUUGAGUUACAAAGCAUGGGAAAAUAUUCAUGGGGCUUUGAACUAGAAGCUUUAUGGCAAAUGCAGUCUCUAGUAUCACAACAAGAAAGGCAACCAUAACCUUUUUAGAAUUUACUAUAUGCUAGAUGGCGCUCUAACAGCUUUUCAUGAACUGAUGCAUAAUACAUAAGAAUAAUCCAUGAAAAAAAUAUUAAUCUCCCUCAUUUAUGAGAAUAUUUUGUUAAGCAUCCAGUAAAUGGUAGAGCCUGGGUUUUAACCCAGUUUACCUAACCUAGAAUUUAUCCAAGAAGGCACUUGUAUCAAUAUUUACAACCAUACUGUCACACUGGAUUUAUUGUCCAGUCAGAUUUUUCUCAUUUACAGAGCAGGCUCUUCAGCCAGGACUUGACUGCAUAGUCACGGAAGGACAUCUCCAUCGAGACUCACAUUAACAGGCAUAGACAUAAGCUGACUACUGUUCCCUCCAGACAGGGGAACAGAUGCACAAACAGACGCACAGAUAAACCACGUGGCGGAAGCCACACGAGAGGGGACUGCGGGGGCGCCGACCCGGACCCCCGCCCCCGGAGCUUCUGCGGCCUCCACGCCAGGCCACCUCCAGUGACGCCCACGAGGACACAAAGCUCAGAGCGUCGCACCGGAGUGGGGUCUCCUGAAGAGCGGAGCAUCGAAAACUACUUCCAUUAUAAGUCAAACCUGUGAACCUGUAUUACGGAUUCCCUCUUCAAGGCUUCUGUCUUCCUCACCAGAAUCACUCCACUUCUACUAUGUGUUUAGACUAUUUUCACUUGAGUUUCAACCAAAGGUGUGAAGAAAACAUCGUCACUUUCUUCCCUGAAAAACUUUAGGAAAUAACCCCGAGAGAACUGUGAAAGCUUAGAGGGCUCUUGCUCCGGCCCCUGACGGGCAGGCUGAGGGUCUCCGGCAGGAGCCGGCCAGGCGAGGACACGGGGUCACCUUAACAUGGGAAAAGACUUCUUCAAAAGAACAAAACACCUUAACCAUAAGGAAGAAAUGACAAAUUGAUCCUAUUUGAAUUAAGAGUUGGUGCUCAGCAAAAGGCACCUAGACAGGUAUUAGCUGGACAGAUGGCGGAGCGGUGGAACGGGCACCAGGAAUAGACUCACAGUCUGCAUGUGUGAGUGUCUCCUGUAAAUCACAAGGGGAAGACAGGCAGCACAACUGGGAAAAAAUGGUAAAAUAAAUGAACAGACACUUCAGAAGAAGGGUUUACCCAGUGGUUAAUAGACAUGGGAAAGGCUGCUCACGUUCCUUACUCAUCAAGCAAAUGCAAAUAAAGCCACCACCAGGGACCCCUGCACCGUCACCCGAUGCUACAACAGGAAUGACAGAGAACAUCACCGGGGGACGAGGAGGCAAGUAAACCAAGAAUAUCAUCACCUGCUGCCGGGUGUGAAACGAACACACACAUUUUUGGAAAAUUGUCUCUUAAAGCUGAACAGAUGUAAACCUCAGAACCAACA